RNAcentral lists this ribosomal RNA (618 nucleotides) under uncultured bacterium. RNAcentral describes it as "bacterial SSU rRNA". It matches the Rfam family "Bacterial small subunit ribosomal RNA", at positions 338 to 951 of the family's 1533-position model. The record is from RNAcentral.
CCUACGGGAGGCAGCAGUGGGGAAUUUUGGACAAUGGGCGAAAGCCUGAUCCAGCAAUGCCGCGUGAGUGAAGAAGGCCUUCGGGUUGUAAAGCUCUUUUGUCAGGGAAGAAACGGUGUGGGCUAAUAUCCUGCACUAAUGACGGUACCUGAAGAAUAAGCACCGGCUAACUACGUGCCAGCAGCCGCGGUAAUACGUAGGGUGCAAGCGUUAAUCGGAAUUACUGGGCGUAAAGCGUGCGCAGGCGGUUUUGUAAGUCUGUCGUGAAAUCCCCGGGCUCAACCUGGGAAUUGCGAUGGAGACUGCAAGGCUAGAAUCUGGCAGAGGGGGGUAGAAUUCCACGUGUAGCAGUGAAAUGCGUAGAGAUGUGGAGGAACACCGAUGGCGAAGGCAGCCCCCUGGGUCAAGAUUGACGCUCAUGCACGAAAGCGUGGGGAGCAAACAGGAUUAGAUACCCUGGUAGUCCACGCCCUAAACGAUGUCUACUAGUUGUCGGGUUUUAAUUAACUUGGUAACGCAGCUAACGCGUGAAGUAGACCGCCUGGGGAGUACGGUCGCAGAUUAAAACUCAAAGGAAUUGACGGCUGAGACGNGCGACGACGACGACGAGGGAGGAGG